RNA transcript from Phoenix dactylifera (date palm), 1862 nucleotides. It is a transcript of the gene named RNA-binding (RRM/RBD/RNP motifs) family protein, with no coding region annotated. Lineage: Eukaryota; Viridiplantae; Streptophyta; Magnoliopsida; Arecales; Arecaceae. The record is from RefSeq and is a predicted model, not a curated record.
UGAUUGCUUCAGUUGGAAAAUCUCAUUUGAGCCACACAGCGGAUAAAAAAGGAGAGCGCCAGCUCCUUCGGCCAUGGCGCUUCUUCUCCCCCGACUCCCUUCUUCUCACCAGCCUCAUCUCUCUCCUCCACUCCCGAAACCUUCUCAAACCCAAAUCCUCUUCCCCUUCUCCGUCCCCAGGAUUCCCAAUACUCGAAGCAGCACGAGAGGAAUCCUUUUCCUCCAGCGACCUUUCUCUUUUAUCGCCACUCUCAGCACCAGCUCGGCCACAGCAACAGCAGCAGCAGAGGAGUCGGCAGAGAUCUCGAGGGAGGCUCGGAAGCGGCUGAUUGCGCAGAAUAUACCUUGGACUUGCACCGCCGAGGACAUCAGAAAUAUCUUCGAGAAGCACGGAACCGUGACUGAUGUCGAGCUCUCAAUGUACAACAGCACUAGAAACAGAGGAUUGGCAUUUGUCACAAUGGCUUCGGAGGAAGAAGCACUUGCAGCCCUUAACAAUCUGAAUUCAUAUGAUUUGGAUGGUCGAGUGAUUAAGGUGGAAUUUGCCAGAUCAUUGAAAAAAGAUUCUUCAGUGGCAAUGGUUCCUGUAUCGAAAUACAAUGUUUUUGUGGGGAAUUUAGCUUGGCGGGUAAGGUCUCAUGAUCUUCGAGAACUCUUUAAUGCCAGUGGGAAUGUUUUAUCUGCUGAAGUGGUCUUCCAGAGCAAUCCAAGAAGAUCGGCAGGCUAUGGAUUUGUCUCCUUUGCUUCAAAAGAAGAAGCGGAGGCUGCAAUAGCUACUUUCAAUGGGAAGAAAUUGAUGGGAAGGCCAAUAAAUUUGGCUUUUGGUAAAAUUCAAACCGACAGUGCUGAAGCUAAAUUGUCUACAAAUGAGCAAUUAGAUGAGGCAUCUAGCGCAGCAAAUGGCAGUGGAGAGCAAUCAAACCAAGAUGGUGAAAUGUGAGGAAAAUAUGAGGAGGAUAUUGUGGUGUAUUCCAUGGGAUUGAAUUCGCCAUAUCCAAAACCCUGCAUGAUGUGAGAAAUGCAGAGAAAGUCACCGAUUAUGGAUGCUCUCUCUUUUUCUGUCACAUAAUGACAUGCAUGGGCACACAGGUAAUUAAGUCCAAAUCAAAAUUUGUUUUUAAGGCAAAUUUGCCUAGGCUCAUCUGUUCUGAUGGUUGUGUAGGUCAUUGCAGGAGUCAACCGAAGCCCACAAGACUGCAAGGAAAACAGCAACACUUCGUCAUGAGUUUGUCUGCUUAAUUUCACGAUAAGUAAUAUCAAUAUUUUUUAGAUAAGUAAUAUUACUAAACCUUAACAAAAAUCAGCUAUAACUUAAUUUCUCGAUACAAAUGAAAGAAUUACAAACUACAAUAUCACCGCAUUCUCCUCAAAUUUAAUCUAAAUUUCCGCUCUUAAUGACUACUAGAAUAGAAAAAUCUCUCAACAAAGAUAAUGGGGCUCGAAAUUAGGACAUCAGACAGAUUUAAUAAGGAUAAUGGAUUCCUACCGCAAGGCAAUGGGAGAAGAGGCUAAGAAUCUCAGUCCUCAUCUUGUCAAAUGUCAGGUAAGAUGUGAACUCCUAGCUUUCAGCCAUUGAUGCUCUUAGAGCUUAGCUUGGGCCUCACACUUUACUUCACCAGCCAGCUGGCUGCCAAGUCAUAAAUCAAUAUGAAGGAAUGACAGUGAUUUUUGUGCAAGCUCUGUAGAUUCGCCAUACCGGCCGGUAUCGUACUAUACCGAACAUACCGUACUGUAUCUGUACCAAAUUGAUAUAUGCAGUUUCAUAAACACCGAUGCUUGAUACAUCUUGUCGUCUCAUAUCAUAUCAUGUACCAAUAUUGUAAUUUCACUAUAUUUGAAUCAGUUUAUAGUCUUAGCGGCCA